CAGCCGCCACGGUAAUACGGAGGGUGCAAGCGUUAAUCGGAAUUACUGGGCGUAAAGCGCACGCAGGCGGUCUGUCAAGUCAGAUGUGAAAUCCCCGGGCUUAACCUGGGAACUGCAUUUGAAACUGGCAGGCUAGAGUCUUGUAGAGGGGGGUAGAAUUCCAGGUGUAGCGGUGAAAUGCGUAGAGAUCUGGAGGAAUACCGGUGGCGAAGGCGGCCCCCUGGACAAAGACUGACGCUCAGGUGCGAAAGCGUGGGGAGCAAACAGGAUUAGAUACCCCCGAGUCCCUGUCUCUUAUACA
This 301-nucleotide ribosomal RNA is filed under the name uncultured bacterium. RNAcentral describes it as "partial 16S ribosomal RNA". It matches the Rfam family "Bacterial small subunit ribosomal RNA", at positions 509 to 808 of the family's 1533-position model. The record is from RNAcentral.